This 253-nucleotide ribosomal RNA is filed under the name uncultured bacterium. RNAcentral's name for it is "partial 16S ribosomal RNA". It matches the Rfam family "Bacterial small subunit ribosomal RNA", at positions 524 to 776 of the family's 1533-position model. The record is from RNAcentral.
UACGGAGGGGACUAGCGUUGUUCGGAAUUACUGGGCGUAAAGCGCACGUAGGCGGAUUUGUAAGUCAGGGGUGAAAUCCCGGGGCUCAACCCCGGAACUGCCUUUGAUACUGCAAAUCUCGAGUCCGGAAGAGGUGAGUGGAAUUCCUAGUGUAGAGGUGAAAUUCGUAGAUAUUAGGAAGAACACCAGUGGCGAAGGCGGCUCACUGGUCCGGUACUGACGCUGAGGUGCGAAAGCGUGGGGAGCGAACAGG